AAAAUCGAAAAGUUUUCCUGCCGGAGAAGAAAAGGUAAACAAACGGUCAGUCCGGGAAGAUUUUCAGUCAAAGUUUUGAUAAUUUCUACUUUUUUGGGAAGAUGGACCCGACGUCUCUCUUCUUUACGAAGCUGAAAAAGCUGGCGGUGACUCUGGAGUCAGAAACUACGAAGCUUCAGCGCGCGUUUGAGACCCGAAAACAGGACGGUGACAGCGAAACCGCGGCCAAAGCUCUGCGAGCGUAUCACGAGCUGAACUGUGACGUCAGGAGCCUGAAGGGGCAGAUCCAGGGUCAGCUCGCUCAGCAGAAA
This is a non-coding RNA of Plectropomus leopardus (leopard coralgrouper), 311 nucleotides long. The record is from RefSeq and is a predicted model, not a curated record. NCBI's taxonomy places the organism in Eukaryota, Metazoa, Chordata, Actinopteri, Perciformes, Serranidae.